Molecule: ribosomal RNA, 515 nt
Filed under: uncultured bacterium
Lineage: Bacteria
Description: partial 16S ribosomal RNA
Rfam family: Bacterial small subunit ribosomal RNA
Source: RNAcentral
GAUGAACGCUGGCGGCGUGCCUAAUACAUGCAAGUCGAGCGAAUGGAUUAAGAGCUUGCUCUUAUGAAGUUAGCGGCGGACGGGUGAGUAACACGUGGGUAACCUGCCCAUAAGACUGGGAUAACUCCGGGAAACCGGGGCUAAUACCGGAUAACAUUUUGAACCGCAUGGUUCGAAAUUGAAAGGCAGCUUCGGCUGUCACUUAUGGAUGGACCCGGGUCGCAUUAGCUAGUUGGUGAGGUAACGGCUCACCAAGGCAACGAUGCGUAGCCGACCUGAGAGGGUGAUCGGCCACACUGGGACUGAGACACGGCCCAGACUCCUACGGGAGGCGGCAGUAGGGAAUCUUCCGCAAUGGACGAAAGUCUGACGGAGCAACGCCGCGUGAGUGAUGAAGGCUUUCGGGUCGUAAAACUCUGUUGUUAGGGAAGAACAAGUGCUAGUUGAAUAAGCUGGCACCUUGACGGUACCUAACCAGAAAGCCACGGCUAACUACGUGCCAGCCGCCGCGGUAA